This 253-nucleotide ribosomal RNA is filed under the name uncultured bacterium. RNAcentral's name for it is "partial 16S ribosomal RNA". It matches the Rfam family "Bacterial small subunit ribosomal RNA", at positions 524 to 776 of the family's 1533-position model. The record is from RNAcentral.
UGCGGGGGGGGCGAGCGUUGUUCGGAAUUACUGGGCGUAAAGGGCUCGUAGGCGGCCAACUAAGUCAGACGUGAAAUCCCUCGGCUUAACCGGGGAACUGCGUCUGAUACUGGAUGGCUUGAGGUUGGGAGAGGGAUGCGGAAUUCCAGGUGUAGCGGUGAAAUGCGUAGAUAUCUGGAGGAACACCGGUGGCGAAGGCGGCAUCCUGGACCAAUUCUGACGCUGAGGAGCGAAAGCCAGGGGAGCAAACGGG